CCUACGGGAGGCAGCAGUGGGGAAUAUUGGACAAUGGGCGCAAGCCUGAUCCAGCCAUGCCGCGUGGGUGAAGAAGGCCUUCGGGUUGUAAAGCCCUUUUGUCCGGGAAGAAAUUGUACGGGUGAAUACCCCGUGCGGAUGACGGUACCGGAAGAAUAAGCACCGGCUAACUUCGUGCCAGCAGCCGCGGUAAUACGAAGGGUGCAAGCGUUACUCGGAAUUACUGGGCGUAAAGCGUGCGUAGGCGGUUUGUUAAGUCUGUCGUGAAAGCCCUGGGCUCAACCUGGGAAUUGCGAUGGAUACUGGCAAGCUAGAGUACGGUAGAGGAUGGUGGAAUUCCCGGUGUAGCGGUGAAAUGCGUAGAGAUCGGGAGGAACACCCGUGGCGAAGGCGGCCAUCUGGACCAGUACUGACGCUGAGGCACGAAAGCGUGGGGAGCAAACAGGAUUAGAUACCCUGGUAGUCCACGCCCUAAACGAUGCGAACUGGAUGUUGGGCACACUUAGGUGCUCAGUGUCGAAGCUAACGCGUUAAGUUCGCCGCCUGGGGAGUACGGUCGCAAGACUGAAACUCAAAGGAAUUGACGG
This 587-nucleotide ribosomal RNA is filed under the name uncultured bacterium. Its description in RNAcentral is "bacterial SSU rRNA". It matches the Rfam family "Bacterial small subunit ribosomal RNA", at positions 338 to 916 of the family's 1533-position model. The record is from RNAcentral.